ACCAAACACCGCCAACAUGGUGUUCAGGUGCUUUGUGGAGGUUGGCCGAGUGGCCUACAUCUCCUUUGGACCUCAUGCCGGAAAGCUGGUAGUGGCUGUAGAUGUUAUUCAUCAGAACAGGGCUUUGGUUGAUGCACCUUGCACUCAGGUGGGGAGACAGGCCAUGCCUUUCAAAUGCAUGCAGCUCACUGACUUCAUCCUCAAGCUCCCACACAGUACCCACCAGAAGUAUGUGCAACAAGUCUGGCAGAAGGCUGAUAUCAAUACAAAAUGGGCAGCCACAAGAUGGGCCAAGAAGAUUGAAGCCAGAGAAAGGAAAGCCAAGAUGACAGAUUUUGAUCAUUUUAAAGUCAUGAAGGCUAAGAAAAUGAGGAACAGGAUAAUCAAGAAAGAAGUUAAGAAGCUUCAAAAGGCAGCUCUCCUGAAAGCUUCUCCCAAUAAAGCACUUGCUAUUAAGGGUGCUGCUGCAGCCGCUGCUGCUGCUGAUAAAGUGCCAACAAAAAAAGGCGACCACCGCUGCAGGCAAGAAGAUUCCAGCCCAGAAAGUUCCUGACCCAAAAGCCACAGGCCAGAAGGCAGUGCCUCCUUCAAAAGCUUAGAAGGGUUCAAAGUCUCCAGCCCAGAAAGUACCUGCUCCAAAGGCAUCUGGCAGAAAGGCAUAA
Molecule: RNA transcript, 662 nt
Organism: Carlito syrichta (Philippine tarsier)
Lineage: Eukaryota; Metazoa; Chordata; Mammalia; Primates; Tarsiidae
Gene name: 60S ribosomal protein L14 pseudogene
Exons: 1
Source: RefSeq, a predicted model, not a curated record